This 497-nucleotide ribosomal RNA is filed under the name uncultured bacterium. RNAcentral's name for it is "partial 16S ribosomal RNA". It matches the Rfam family "Bacterial small subunit ribosomal RNA", at positions 28 to 507 of the family's 1533-position model. The record is from RNAcentral.
GAUGAACGCUGGCGGCGUGCCUAAUACAUGCAAGUCGAGCGAACGGACGAGAAGCUUGCUUCUCUGAUGUUAGCGGCGGACGGGUGAGUAACACGUGGAUAACCUACCUAUAAGACUGGGAUAACUUCGGGAAACCGGAGCUAAUACCGGAUAAUAUUUUGAACCGCAUGGUUCAAAAGUGAAAGACGGUCUUGCUGUCACUUAUAGAUGGAUCCGCGCUGCAUUAGCUAGUUGGUAAGGUAACGGCUUACCAAGGCAACGAUGCAUAGCCGACCUGAGAGGGUGAUCGGCCACGCUGGAACUGAGACACGCUCCAGACUCCUACGGGAGGCAGCAGUAGGGAAUCUUCCGCAAUGGGCGAAAGCCUGACGGAGCAACGCCGCUUGAGUGAUGAAGGUCUUCGGAUCGUAAAACUCUGUUAUUAGGGAAGAACAUAUGUGUAAGUAACUGUGCACAUCUUGACGGUACCUAAUCAGAAAGCCACGGCUAACUACGUG